RNAcentral lists this ribosomal RNA (824 nucleotides) under Pseudocyphellaria intricata. RNAcentral's name for it is "LSU rRNA". It matches the Rfam family "Eukaryotic large subunit ribosomal RNA", at positions 69 to 908 of the family's 3401-position model. Lineage: Eukaryota; Fungi; Ascomycota; Lecanoromycetes; Peltigerales; Lobariaceae. The record is from RNAcentral.
CAGGGAUUGCCUCAGUAACGGCGAGUGAAGCGGCAACAGCUCAAAUUUGAAAUCUGACCCCCUCGGGGCCCGAGUUGUAAUUUGUAGAGGGUGUUUCGGGCGCGGCGCCGGUCCAAGUUCCUUGGAACAGGACGUCACAGAGGGUGAGAAUCCCGUACGUGACCGGCGAUCAAGCCCAUGUGAAGCCCCUUCGACGAGUCGAGUUGUUUGGGAAUGCAGCUCCAAAUGGGUGGUAAAUUUCAUCUAAAGCUAAAUAUUGGCCAGAGACCGAUAGCGGACAAGUAGAGUGAUCGAAAGAUGAAAAGCACUUUGGAAAGAGAGUCAAACAGUACGUGAAAUUGUUGAAAGGGAAGCGCUUGCAAUCAGACCGGUCCGGGGGCGAUCAGCCGCUGCUCGUCAGCGGUGCACGCGCCCUCGAUCCGGCCAGCAUCGGUUUGGGCGGCGGGAAAAAAGGCCCGGGAAUGUAGCUUCCUUCGGGGAGUCUUAUAGCCCGGGUCGGCAUGCCGCCCGCCUGGACCGAGGACCGCGCUUCGGCUAGGAUGCUGGCGUAAUGGUUGCAAGCGACCCGUCUUGAAACACGGACCAAGGAGUCUAACAUCUAUGCGAGUGUUUGGGUGUCAAACCCGGGCGCGGAAUGAAAGUGAACGGAGGUGGGAACCCGUCAGACGGCGCACCAUCGACCGAUCCAGAUGUCUUCGGAUGGAUUUGAGUACGAGCAUAGCUGUUGGGACCCGAAAGAUGGUGAACUAUGCCCGGAUAGGGUGAAGCCAGAGGAAACUCUGGUGGAGGCUCGCAGCGGUUCUGACGUGCAAAUCGAUCGUCAA